CUGCAAAUAUUUUGGGCCGGCGCCGGAGAAGCCGGCGAGCCCGCGCAGCCGCCGGCGACCUUCGCUCGCGCCGCCGCGAUAAAUACCACGCUAGCCUCCGAGAUCCCACCUGCCGCUCCGCUGCCUCCAGCUCCCCUCGCGCUCCCCUCAUGGUCCUACCUACCUCCUCCACGCGGUUCGGCCGCAGCGGCGGCAGCUAGGCGACUGGGCCUUCCGCCGUUCCCUGCAGUUCACCAUGAUCGCCGUUGCCCGUUGCUACUGACUGAUGAGAUGCCCCGUCCUGACACCAGGGCGGUGAAACUGAAAUCCAUUUCGGGGGCGCCAACGGACGCUCGGUCGCCGCUUGUUGCUCGUCAGCUCCUAAUUCCAAUCCAGCAAGCGUCCUGAGAAAUGGAAAUCCCCUUCUCCUUCCGUGACGCUGCCGAAUCCAAACAGAGGCAUUCUUUGUUUAACCUUCGUUCACUUCAGCCCACACCGAUUGUCAUCGAGACCAGCAUGUCCUCACAUGCUGACGGAGCAGGCAGCGCCGGAGGCCCGGAAGGAAGGGUGAGUCCGCGCUUCAGCUCCGAUGCGUCGUCAUUCACGCCGAUCGAGCUGCUUCACGGGUUCACUCAGCGCAGCCAAGGGAGAACCUUGGCGCUGGUCCGAAAUCACUGUCCCUCUCAUCAAGGGAGCGAAAUGGUAGCACUUAAAGUCGUGCAUGCUGGGGUGACAUUCGCCUCACACUAGGUCGCACUACUUGGUGGUUGUGGUCUUGUGGAAGAUGCGUCAAUAGAACAAGCAAAGGAGGGCAAGUACCUUCAAUGAUUUGGUUGGCAAGGGUAAGUUCAGCACUGUGGUAGCAAAGCAGUAACCACUGCCAGGUCUGUUUUUAAGCAUCUCUUGAGUUCAUUAAUACGGCUCAUUACAUUAUUAUUGUCUCUCUCUUCCUUUUUUGUCAAAGCGAAUCAACUGCUAAAACACUUUAAAACUUGACUUUUGCAAAGCAGGUACCUUCCAUUGUUACAGUUAGGGAAUACCUUAUAUGAAGUUUUAUCUAUUCUUACCUUGUGUUGAUAUGUGCUUUCUAAAUCUGAGGCAGAGAUUUGAUUUGUGCUGGUAAGCUGGUAACGUUUCAACCAAAAGGAGAACAUAAUUAAUAGGUUUCUGAAUUCUGAGUAAUGCAUAGUACAUUAUUGUACAAGUGUGGCCCAAUUUGUUGAGGCCCAUGCUUAAGAAAGCUGCCUCUCCUUUUCCAUUAGAAAACUGAAGGGAAUUAUCAGUAAAGAUAAGGCUCAAUCAUAGUUUAAUGCUGCAAAUGGUACCUGCUGCAUGAGAAUCAAACUAUAAAACUGGGGUGGCCCAAAUCCCUCCACCUACAUUAGGGAAUCUGAUCUCACUAUCCUGACAACUAUAAAUAAAUGGUUCAAUAAGGACAAAAACCUAUGAUAUGCCGACAAUCUUUUGUGCUUGCCAUUCUUUUAUCACCACUUGUUGAUUUAUCUAUUCCCUGGAGUAGAUUCUUGCUCUUUCUAUCUGUUGCAAUGCCCUCUUUGUUUCCUUGAUCCAAGUGUUUAUCCUCUUGCUAAUUUUGGCAAAAAAAUGCCUGUCCCAAUACUUAAACUAAUGGAGUUAUAGAAAAGAUAUACUUAGACUAAUGAUUGUAUCAUUUGUUGGGCAUAGCUAGCACGAAAGACUUCUGGACUUCUCAAUGCUAUAAACAAACACUGUGUGAGACAAUGUGCCUCCAUUGUACCACUCAAGUACAAAAUCAUCCAUCUGAUGGUUCCACUUCCACUAUGGUAUUAUGUUCCCUUUUGUCCCCUCUUUUUCCUGUUGUAGCGUUCUUUCAAAUGUUAUCCACCAAACAUGCGAUUGACCGACCAGUUUUAGACUGUAUAUGCAAAAUGCUUCUGGAAAUGUCCUGAAAAAGGAAGACAUUUUCAAACAUGCUUUUCUGUUGAGUUAAUCGUCUGUUAUUCUCUUGAUAAACAAUCAAACUGUAGUAUUAUGACACUUGCACAGCAAUGAUUAGACCAAAAGCGAAAGCUGUAACUAGAUGAGUCUCCAUCAGGUCAUACUUAUGCCAGAUGUAGUCAUUAACCCCUUUAAAGCUAACAUUAUAGAAAUGCUUAAUACAACUUAUUUUAUAGUAAUGCUUUGCUUACUAUAAACAAGAGUGCUGAUCUCAUUGCCAUUCUGACAUCAUGGUUUAUUAAUAGUAGUACUCCAUUUGUCAGUAGUUUACGGCAUGUACACAUCUCUAGGCUUUCUUGGAACUUUAAGAUUGGCAUUAUAAAACUACUCUUGUCAAAUGGUUGAAUGAUGAGUAUGAUGGAUAUUUGAAAGUGAGAGGUUUCUGCUUUUGUUUGUCUUAGCUCCUGACCCUGCUUUUCGCAGUCUUGGUGGGAACUUCAAAAGUAGCCAUGUUUCAAGUUCCAACUUCAAGUUCUAUCCUCUCAAAGAAAGAGGGGAAUCUUCCAAGUUCCAAAAACCAUUGGGCUUUGCUAAUGCACAGAACUCAUCCAGGCUGUUUAAAAUUUUCCAGGGACUUCACAACCAGUUGCCUUACAUUCAAUUGCAACAAUCAGAUGAGACAUGAGUUAAACCAGACAAAAAGAUGGGUUUUUCAGUUGCAUCACUCCAAAGGCAAAAAGGUGAGGUUGAUUUGAGAUGAUAGAUGCUGAAUGGCUGAUUGGUUUGCAGAGAUAAGUCACGUUUAUAUAGGUUGGGUUUGAAAUUUUCAUCCAGUCAACAAUGGAAGUUCCACUGAAGCUAGGAUUAGAGCACUGGAGCAGGUGAUGGGGAUUGAACACUCAUCAGGUUUUAUUUUGGGUACUGGAUUUUAUUUUCACCGUCACGGGCGGUGGAGUAGCGUCAGAUAAGCUUCCGGUUUUCACUUUCAUGCAUUAAUUUUCGGGAUGCGAAGGCCCAUUGCGAUUUGACCUCUUGAGAGGAAUAAAGGUGAAAAGAUGACAAUGAAGGUCUCAACUUCGAAGUCACUGUCCAUCAGAGCUGCUUUUUGAUAAAAUAUGAAGUGGGGAAUUUCUCAGUAACAAUCCACGUGAUGUUACCCUGAGCAGAAAAUUCAGAUCAGCAUUAGAAACCACAGAUUUCAAAUAUUUGCUGGACCCAAUUGCGAUAUCCAGGAGGCAGUUGGUGCUUCCAAGGAGGCAGUUUGUGGUCCUGGUGAAAACCGUUUGUGGUCCUGGCUCACCAACAGUCCUACUCUAUUUCAGCACAGAUGAUCCCCAGGACAGCCAUCUUUUUAUCUUUGGAUGCCAUCAAUCAUCUAAACUUGCCACAUCUGGAUACUUUUGCUGGCUCUGAGGUCUUCAGCUCACUGGCCAACCACAAGUCCACAAAACUGUUUUAGCCCCUCCUUGGCUCCAGGCAGCACAGCUUUGAAUGUGUGGUGGCAUUUGGAACUUGGAAGGGAAAGCAAUAGCUUAGCUCUGCAAUGGGAACAGUACCUCAUGUACUAUUCCCAGCUUUAGUAGCGUUAGGUAUUGAAUAAUCAGGUUGAUUCGCUUUAUUUUAUAGUACUCCUAUAAUGAAUAUUCUCU
Panicum hallii is the source of this 3545-nucleotide long non-coding RNA. RefSeq lists it as uncharacterized. The record is from RefSeq and is a predicted model, not a curated record. The transcript has 5 exons. Lineage: Eukaryota; Viridiplantae; Streptophyta; Magnoliopsida; Poales; Poaceae.